GACACAGGGAGGUAGUGACAAGAAAUAACAAUACAGGGCUACUGUCUUGUAAUUGGAAUGAUGGUGACUUAAACCCUCACCAGAGUACCAAUUGGAGGGCAAGUCUGGUGCCAGCAGCCGCGGUAAUUCCAGCUCCAAUAGCGUAUAUUAAACUUGUUGCAGUUAAAAAGCUCGUAGUUGAAUUUCAGCGUUUCGCGUGUGCCUCUUUUGGCCCAUCUCGUCUCGCUUUUUUUAUUACUUUGAGAAAAUUAGAGUGUUUCAAGCAGGCUUUUGUCUUGAAUACUUGAGCAUGGAAUAAUAGAGUAGGACCUUGGUUCUAUUUUGUUGGUUUUGUUACCUUGGUAAUGGUUAAUAGGAACGGUUGGGGGCAUUCGUAUUUAACUGUCAGAGGUGAAAUUCUUAG
This 403-nucleotide ribosomal RNA is filed under the name Babesia occultans. RNAcentral describes it as "SSU rRNA". It matches the Rfam family "Eukaryotic small subunit ribosomal RNA", at positions 453 to 923 of the family's 1831-position model. The record is from RNAcentral. Lineage: Eukaryota; Apicomplexa; Aconoidasida; Piroplasmida; Babesiidae.